AGAAGGGUAGGUCAUAAAGAGACUUCUAAUCUUUUUUAUGGGCAGUUCGACUCUGUCCCUUUCUU
This 65-nucleotide transfer RNA is filed under the name Cryptonema producta. RNAcentral describes it as "tRNA-Ser". Lineage: Eukaryota; Metazoa; Mollusca; Bivalvia; Venerida; Veneridae. The record is from RNAcentral.